GACGAACGCUGGCGGCGUGCUUAACACAUGCAAGUCGAACGGAAAGGCCCUGCUGUUGUGGGGUGCUCGAGUGGCGAAAGGGUUAGUAACACGUGAGUAACCUGCCCUUGACUUUGGGGUAACUUCAGGAAACUGGGGCUAAUACCGGAUAGGAUCUCCUGCUGCAAGGUGGGUGUUGGAAAGUUUCGGCGGUUGGGGAUGGACUCGCGGCUUAUCAGCUUGUUGGUGGGGUAGUGGCUUACCAAGGCUUUGACGGGUAGCCGGCCUGAGAGGGGGACCGGGCCGAUUGGGACUGGGCUGCGGCCCAGACUACUACGGGAGGGAGCGGAGGGGAAUGGUGCACAACAGGAUGAAGGCUGCUGCGGCAACGCCGCGUGCGGGAUGACGGCCUGCAGGUUGGAAACCGCUUUCGCCUGUGACGAAGCGUGAGUGACGGUAAUGGGUAAAGAAGCACCGGCUAACUACGUG
RNAcentral lists this ribosomal RNA (468 nucleotides) under uncultured bacterium. RNAcentral describes it as "partial 16S ribosomal RNA". It matches the Rfam family "Bacterial small subunit ribosomal RNA", at positions 28 to 507 of the family's 1533-position model. The record is from RNAcentral.